This is a long non-coding RNA of Sus scrofa (pig), 2107 nucleotides long. RefSeq lists it as uncharacterized. The record is from RefSeq and is a predicted model, not a curated record. Lineage: Eukaryota; Metazoa; Chordata; Mammalia; Artiodactyla; Suidae.
GGCCCCGGCCCCGCCGCCGGCCCGCGCGCGCUCGGCCGGCCGCAGGGCGAGCGGAGGGUCUGGCGAGGAGCUAAGCACGUUCAGAGGGCUGACAAUUAAGUUUCCGCAAUACGUAUACAUUUAUUUAAACGGGAACGUCGGAAUCUCUGGAAACGCAGUUUUAAAAUUCUAGCUCUGCUGCCUGCCUGCCUACCUUGGACUCCGUAUCCGGGAGCUGGGUGGCCUUCCUUCAAAGGGCAGCGCAGCCCAGAAGGAUUUCUGUCAUCACCCCAGCCACCCUGCAACUCUGGGCCCCACAAGGGACAACGUUGGAUCCAGGCUGCAUCUGUGACCUACACUGCAGCUCAAAGAAACACUGGAUCCUUAACCCACUGAGGGAGGCCAGGGAUUGAACCCACAUCCCCAUGGAUACUAGUCAGGUUUGUAACCCACUGAGCCACAAGGGAACUCCUGUUGUGCCCUCUUUAUUAGGGAUCGAUGUUGAAGAAAUUGGGAGGCAGGCUACAACUGCAAUUAACAGCAUGUGCUUUGGGUCCCACACACUUAUAUACUUAUAUUUAAAUUCUGGCUGUGUGACCAUGGACUAAUUGCUUAACUGCUCUGAACUUCAUCUGUAAAGGGGGCUAUGAAUACCAAUUUCACAGGUUGUCAAAAGAGAAAACGAAGUGAAAAUCUUUACUUAGCGCAGUGCCUGGAACAUGGUAAGACCCAAUGAACCGUAGUGAUAAUUAUUAUUAUCCCUAAUAAACUCAAGGUAGGGUUUCUUUUUGGUUUUUUUGGGGGUUUUUUUUGUUGUUGUUGUUGUUCUGCUUUUUAAGGUUGCACCUGCGGCAUAUGAAGUUUCCCAGGCUAGGGGUUGAAUCGGAGCUGUAGCCACAGGCCUACACCACAGCCACAGCAACGCAGGAUCCCAGCCGCGUCUGCAACCUACCCCACAGCUCAUGGCAACACCGGAUCCUUAACCCACUGAGUGAGGCCAGGGAUGGAACCUGCAUCCUCAUGGCUCCUCCUCGGAUUUGUUUAUUCAUUUCUGCUGCGCCACGACGGGAACGCCCCACAAGCGGUGAUUUCUGGUGAAAGUUUUCAUGUGAGGUCACUCACUGUCAGUAGUACUCAGUUUACUUGAAAUUUUUUCUUUUUCUCUUUUCUUCCUCCUUCCUCCCUUCUUCCCUCCCUCGCUCCCUCCCUCCCUUUCAUCCUUUCUUUUCUAGCUUGGAAACAUUAUUUUAGUCUGGAGUUACUUUUGUAGAAAAUAGAAAUAGAAGAGUUAGAUUCUAUUAUGUUUUAACUAAAAAUACUCAUUCCAAGAGACCUGACCAGACAUGGUAAAUGCAGAACGGACUUCCUAAACAUUCAAAUCUAGAAGUUGCCACGGUGCCUGGGAAGCAGUAAGAGGCUUCAGCGGCUGAAACGCUUUCCAGAAAAAGCUGGAGGAGAGGCCUUGGCCUGACUCACUGUUGCCCUGGCAACAGUAGGGCCUGGAGGCCUCUGUCCCUGAUCCCUUAAUCUGAGGCGCCGCCACAACAUUGCCUGAGGAAAGGUCCCCACAGACACCUGGCUGGUUAAGGCUCCCCAUCUGAAAGGAGGGCAGAGAAGAUGGUGGUGCGGCUCCCCUGCCCCAAGCGCUGCCGAGGGGUCUCCGUCAGCCUUCCGGACCCCAGAGGCUCAGUCCUGAGAAUCAGGCUGCAGCAUCCACCAGAUUCUAAGUGCUGUCCAGGCAGCGGAGGGUCCCCUGAUCCCUUGGUGUUUCUCCAUGGAGCCUGGUACAAUGCUUUGCACACAGCAGAUGCCUAAUAAAUACCGGCGUCCGGGGGGUGAUGGGCAUCCCCCAGGGCGCCAGACCCCCGCUGCUCCUGCAUGAGCGCCGGCCUGGACCACCCGCUCCUCCCUGAAUCCAUUUGUCCAGCUGCGAGCACGGGCUCCACGAUGCUAAGGCCUUUCUUGCCUCGAGAAAUCUUUUUUCUAAUUCUCUUACCAUGUUCGUGAUUUUGGCAAACGUAGGGCACAGAUCAUGUUCUGCUCAAUAUAUUGUUUCACCUCAUUGUGUCUGGUUUUUUGUUUGUUUGUUUGUUUGCUUUGGUCUUUUUAGGGCUGAACCCACAGCAUA